AGGGAGGUACCGUGGCUCCAUGGUAGAGCAUCUGCUUGUCAUGCAAAAGGUUCCAGAUUCAACCCCUGGCCUCUCCA
This 77-nucleotide transfer RNA is filed under the name Sphaerodactylus townsendi. RNAcentral describes it as "tRNA-Asp". It matches the Rfam family "tRNA". From Rfam's summary of the family: Transfer RNA (tRNA) molecules are approximately 80 nucleotides in length. Their secondary structure includes four short double-helical elements and three loops (D, anti-codon, and T loops). Lineage: Eukaryota; Metazoa; Chordata; Lepidosauria; Squamata; Sphaerodactylidae. The record is from RNAcentral.